GGGUUAGUCGGGACCUAAGCCGAGGCCGAUAGGCGUAGGCGAUGGACAACAGGUAGAGAUUCCUGUACCAGUGCUAAUUGUUUAACCGAUGGGGUGACACAGAAGGAUAGGGAAUCGCACGAAUGGAAAUGUGCGUCCAAGCAGUGAGUGUGAGAAGUAGGCAAAUCCGCUUCUCGCGAAGCAUGAGCUGUGAUGGGGAAGGAAAUUAAGUACGGAAGUUCCUGAUUUCACGCUGUCAAGAAAAGCCUCUAGGAAGAGUAGUACUGCCCGUACCGCAAACCGACACAGGUAGAUGAGGAGAGAAUCCUAAGGUGAGCGAGAGAACUCUCGUUAAGGAACUCGGCAAAAUGACCCCGUAACUUCGGGAGAAGGGGUGCUCUAUUAGGGUGCAAGCCCGAGAGAGCCGCAGUGAAUAGGCCCAGGCGACUGUUUAGCAAAAACACAGGUCUCUGCAAAACCGUAAGGUGACGUAUAGGGGCUGACGCCUGCCCGGUGCUGGAAGGUUAAGAGGAGUGCUUAGCUUCGGCGAAGGUACGAAUUGAAGCCCCAGUAAACGGCGGCCGUAACUAUAACGGUCCUAAGGUAGCGAAAUUCCUUGUCGGGUAAGUUCCGACCCGCACGAAAGGCGUAAUGAUUUGGGCACUGUCUCAACGAGAGACUCGGUGAAAUUAUAGUACCUGUGAAGAUGCAGGUUACCCGCGACAGGACGGAAAGACCCCGUGGAGCUUUACUGCAACCUGAUAUGGAAUGUUUGUACCGCUUGUACAGGAUAGGUAGGAGCCGAAGAGACGUGUGCGCUAGCAUACGAGGAGGCAAUGGUGGGAUACUACCCUGGCUGUAUGACCAUUCUAACCCGCCACGCUUAGCGCGUGGGGAGACAGUGUCAGGUGGGCAGUUUGACUGGGGCGGUCGCCUCCUAAAGAGUAACGGAGGCGCCCAAAGGUUCCCUCAGAAUGGAUGGAAAUCAUUCGCAGAGUGUAAAGGCACAAGGGAGCUUGACUGCGAGACUGACAAGUCGAGCAGGGACGAAAGUCGGGCUUAGUGAUCCGGUGGUUCCGCAUGGAAGGGCCAUCGCUCAACGGAUAAAAGCUACCCCGGGGAUAACAGGCUUAUCUCCCCCAAGAGUCCACAUCGACGGGGAGGUUUGGCACCUCGAUGUCGGCUCGUCGCAUCCUGGGGCUGUAGUCGGUCCCAAGGGUUGGGCUGUUCGCCCAUUAAAGCGGCACGCGAGCUGGGUUCAGAACGUCGUGAGACAGUUCGGUCCCUAUCCGUCGCGGGCGCAGGAAAUUUGAGAGGAGCUGUCCUUAGUACGAGAGGACCGGGAUGGACACACCGCUGGUGUACCAGUUGUUCCGCCAGGAGCAUCGCUGGGUAGCUAUGUGUGGCAGGGAUAAACGCUGAAAGCAUCUAAGCGUGAAGCCCCCCUCAAGAUGAGAUUUCCCAUUUCUUCGGAAAGUAAGAUCCCUGAAAGAUGAUCAGGUAGAUAGGUUUGGAGUGGAAGUGUAGCGAUACAUGGAGCGGACAAAUACUAAUCGAUCGAGGACUUAACC
This 1550-nucleotide ribosomal RNA is filed under the name synthetic metagenome. RNAcentral describes it as "bacterial LSU rRNA". It matches the Rfam family "Bacterial large subunit ribosomal RNA", at positions 1377 to 2925 of the family's 2925-position model. The record is from RNAcentral.